CUAAGUGGGAUAAAAACAGGCUCAUACAAUAAAUAAAUUCAAACAGACAAAAAGUCUGAGAGAAACUGUGAUGGCUCGGUGGAGGCUAUGUACGACGUAAAGCGUGAUUUAUGGUUGUGCGGAGGCUCCACGCGGAACUUUCUCCGUAGCCUACACUGUGACAGCCAUGGUGCCUGAGCUUGGAAAGUUGGAGAAACUUCAACAAUGAAUGAUGUUGUGUCAUUGGAGCUGUAAGUAACGUAUUUCCUUGGAGAACGUUGGCACCAAGAUC
Molecule: long non-coding RNA, 271 nt
Organism: Perca fluviatilis (European perch)
Lineage: Eukaryota; Metazoa; Chordata; Actinopteri; Perciformes; Percidae
Exons: 3
Source: RefSeq, a predicted model, not a curated record